Molecule: ribosomal RNA, 231 nt
Filed under: uncultured bacterium
Lineage: Bacteria
Description: partial 16S ribosomal RNA
Rfam family: Bacterial small subunit ribosomal RNA
Source: RNAcentral
ACUCCUACGGGAGGCAGCAGUGAGGAAUAUUGGACAAAUGGGCGCAAGCCUGAUCCAGCCAUGCCGCGUGCAGGAAGACUGCCCUAUGGGUUGUAAACUGCUUUUGUGACGGGAAGAAACACCCCUCGUGAGGGGGCUUGACGGUACCGUAAGAAUUAAGGAUCGGCUAACUCCGUGCCAGCAGCCGCGGUAAUACGGAGGAUCCGAGCGUUAUCCGGAAUCAUUGGGUUU